RNAcentral lists this ribosomal RNA (490 nucleotides) under Ahaetulla fasciolata. RNAcentral describes it as "partial 16S ribosomal RNA". It matches the Rfam family "Bacterial large subunit ribosomal RNA", at positions 1847 to 2612 of the family's 2925-position model. Lineage: Eukaryota; Metazoa; Chordata; Lepidosauria; Squamata; Colubridae. The record is from RNAcentral.
UUAAAGGCACGCCUGCCCAGUGAACAAUUAAACGGCCGCGGUACACUAACCGUGCAAAGGUAGCAUAAUAAUUUGUCUACUAAUUAUAGACCUGCAUGAAAGGCAAAAUGAGGGUUUAACUGUCUCUUAUAGUAAAUCAAUUAAACUGAUCUUCUAGUAAAAAAGCUAGAAUUACAACAUAAGACCAGAAGACCCUGUGAAGCUUAAACUAAACUAUUAAACCUAAUAAUAACUACUUUAGGUUGGGGCGACCUUGGAAAAAAGAAUAACUUCCAAAAUACAUAUACAAACAGGCCUACAAGCCAAUAAACGACCCAGCAACGCUGAAAAUUGAACCAAGUUACUCCAGGGAUAACAGCGCAAUCUUCUUCAAGAGCCCAUAUCAAAAAGAAGGUUUACGACCUCGAUGUUGGAUCAGGACAUCCUAAUGGUGCAGAAGCUAUUAAGGGUUCGUUUGUUCAACGAUUAAUGUCCUACGUGAUCUGAGUUC